This 508-nucleotide ribosomal RNA is filed under the name uncultured bacterium. RNAcentral describes it as "partial 16S ribosomal RNA". It matches the Rfam family "Bacterial small subunit ribosomal RNA", at positions 28 to 523 of the family's 1533-position model. The record is from RNAcentral.
GAUGAACGCUAGCUACAGGCUUAACACAUGCAAGUCGAGGGGAAACGACAUCGAAAGCUUGCUUUUGAUGGGCGUCGACCGGCGCACGGGUGAGUAACGCGUAUCCAACCUGCCCACCACUUGGGGAUAACCUUGCGAAAGUAAGACUAACACCCAAUGACGUCUCUAGAAGACACCUGAAAGAGAUUAAAGAUUUAUCGGUGAUGGAUGGGGAUGCGUCUGAUUAGCUUGUUGGCGGGGUAACGGCCCACCAAGGCGACGAUCAGUAGGGGUUCUGAGAGGAAGGUCCCCCACAUUGGAACUGAGACACGGUCCAAACUCCUACGGGAGGCAGCAGUGAGGAAUAUUGGUCAAUGGGCGAGAGCCUGAACCAGCCAAGUAGCGUGCAGGAUGACGGCCCUAUGGGUUGUAAACUGCUUUUAUAAGGGAAUAAAGUGAGUCUCGUGAGACUUUUUGCAUGUACCUUAUGAAUAAGGACCGGCUAAUUCCGUGCCAGCCGCCGCGGUAA